UACAGAGGGUGCAAGCGUUAAUCGGAAUUACUGGGCGUAAAGCGUGCGUAGACGGUAGCGUAAGUCGGGUGUGAAAGCCCCGGGCUCAACCUGGGAAUUGCAUUCGAGACUGCUCUGUUAGGGUGCGGAAGAGGGAAGCGGAAUUUCCGGUGUAGCGGUGAAAUGCGUAGAUAUCGGAAGGAACACCAGUGGCGAAAGCGGCUUCCUGGUCCAGCACCGACGUUCAGGCACGAAAGCGUGGGGAGCAAACAGG
Molecule: ribosomal RNA, 253 nt
Filed under: uncultured bacterium
Lineage: Bacteria
Description: partial 16S ribosomal RNA
Rfam family: Bacterial small subunit ribosomal RNA
Source: RNAcentral